UUCUGGUUGAUCCCGGCGGAGGUUACUGCUAUCGAGGUUCGACUAAGCCAUGCGAGUCGAAUGUAGCAAUACAUGGCGUACUGCUCAGUAACACGUGGACAACCUACCCUUAGGUCGGGGAUAAACCCGGGAAACUGGGUAUAAUACCCGAUAGUCCUCGGAUGCUGGAAUGCACCGAGGUCUAAAGCUCCGGCGCCUAAGGAUGGGUCUGCGGCCUAUCAGGUAGUAGUGGGUGUAGCGUACCUACUAGCCUACGACGGGUACGGGUUGUGAGAGCAAGAGCCCGGAGAUGGAUUCUGAGACACGAAUCCAGGCCCUACGGGGUGCAGCAGGCGCGAAAACUUUACAAUGCUGGAAACAGCGAUAAGGGGACCUCGAGUGCCAGGUUACAAAUCUGGCUGUCGUGAUGCCUAAAAAGCAUUGCAUAGCAAGGGCCGGGCAAGACCGGUGCCAGCCGCCGCGGUAACACCGGCGGCUCGAGUGGUAACCGCUAUUAUUGGGUCUAAAGGGUCUGUAGCCGGCCGGAUAAGUCUUUUGGGAAAUCUGGCAGUUUAACUGUCAGGCUUUCAGAGGAUACUGUCUGGCUCGAGGCCGGGAGAGGUGAGAGGUACUCAGGGGUAGGGGGAAAUCUUGUAAACUGAAGGACCACCA
RNAcentral lists this ribosomal RNA (651 nucleotides) under uncultured Methanosaeta sp. RNAcentral describes it as "bacterial SSU rRNA". It matches the Rfam family "Archaeal small subunit ribosomal RNA", at positions 1 to 662 of the family's 1478-position model. The record is from RNAcentral. Lineage: Archaea; Methanobacteriati; Methanobacteriota; Methanomicrobia; Methanotrichales; Methanotrichaceae.